AACGAACGCUGGCGGCAUGCCUAACACAUGCAAGUCGAACGAGACCUUCGGGUCUAGUGGCGCACGGGUGCGUAACGCGUGGGAAUCUGCCCUUGGGUUCGGAAUAACAGUUGGAAACGACUGCUAAUACCGGAUGAUGACGUAAGUCCAAAGAUUUAUCGCCCAAGGAUGAGCCCGCGUAGGAUUUGCUAGUUGGUGAGGUAAAGGCUCACCAAGGCGACGAUCCUUAGCUGGUCUGAGAGGAUGAUCAGCCACACUGGGACUGAGACACGGCCCAGACUCCUACGGGAGGCAGCAGUGGGGAAUAUUGGACAAUGGGCGAAAGCCUGAUCCAGCAAUGCCGCGUGAGUGAUGAAGGCCUUAGGGUUGUAAAGCUCUUUUACCCGGGAUGAUAAUGACAGUACCGGGAGAAUAAGCUCCGGCUAACUCCGU
RNAcentral lists this ribosomal RNA (432 nucleotides) under uncultured bacterium. Its description in RNAcentral is "partial 16S ribosomal RNA". It matches the Rfam family "Bacterial small subunit ribosomal RNA", at positions 29 to 506 of the family's 1533-position model. The record is from RNAcentral.